This 74-nucleotide transfer RNA is filed under the name Candidatus Omnitrophota bacterium. Its description in RNAcentral is "tRNA-Arg". It matches the Rfam family "tRNA". Rfam says of the family: Transfer RNA (tRNA) molecules are approximately 80 nucleotides in length. Lineage: Bacteria; Pseudomonadati; Candidatus Omnitrophota. The record is from RNAcentral.
GCGCCCGUAGCUCAAUUGGACAGAGCAACUGCCUUCUAAGCAGUAGGUUGCGUGUUCGAUUCACGCCGGGCGCG